AAAAAAGAGACAGAGCUAGGGCUUUGUUUUCAAAUCAUACUUUUCAAAAAGAUUAAGGAGUUUCAUAGCAUGUUUACUUUUCAUAAAUUUAAGGGCUUUGGAGAAAGAAAGACACUCGUUAUGAAAUGCAUAGAAUCUAGGUUUCACCUUUCCAUAUCUACAUUUGUGGCGACACUUCUUUCUCUUCAUCUACUUUUUUUCUGGGAAACAACGCAAAGGUGCCUUACCGCCACCUACUGGACUGGAGUCUGACAGAAUGUACAGCAAGUCUAAACAAAACACAUUUAUUUUUGGGAUGACUUUCCUAGGCAAUUAUUUAAACUAAAGCCAUGCAUUUUUCAUCUGUUUAAUCAAUAUUUUUGCUUUUUCAGGCAGUUUCUUUGGCUUCCCCAGAAAAAUAACAAAACGAUACAAGUUUGAAUUUUCCAAGACGCCAUUGAAAAUCCAAACAACAGGAACACAAUUCAAACACUAUCAGCUUGUAUUGUGUCAUAUAUGUUCCAGAUUUGGGAACCAGCGAAGGAGGCAGCCCCAGUGUUCUACCAUAUGGUAGACUCACCCCUGUGGAGAUGGAGCAGAUAAAUUGGAGUCAAAAGUGGCCCCAAUACAGAGCUUUACUGGACACCAUGGGCAAGGGUGCGGAGGAGAACUGGAACCUGAAAACAGCCACAGAGAAGGAACAUGAAAAUAUAUAUCUCUCAUAUAAGCUCUUUUAUAUAUUAUUAUAAGCUCUUUUAUAUGAACAAAUAUGUAUCUCUCACUUAUGCUCCUUAUAUAUUAUCAUAAAUACAUUAUUAUAUGCCCUUUCAUGGAAUCUUGUUAUAAUAUCGAAAACCUCUAUGUGCCUUUUCUGCUCAAGCUGAACAGCUGCAUAAGGGAGUGAAAGUGUUCCUUCCUUCAGUUCCUCAAUACAAGAACAACUGUCUUUGUUAGCAAAGGAUGUUGCAGGAUGUGUCCUGGUCAUCUCAAGGUUGCAUGUCCUUGGGAUGAAUUGGUCUUUCAUUAACAAGGCUAUUAGCUGACGUGCGUCUACAGGUGCAGAUGGCAGAAUUACGUGUGUGUAUGGCAAACUGCGUAUGUUACAUUCCUGUGCUUUUCAAUAAAAAUCAGCCGUUUCAGCAGAACGGCGAGAGUCUGUCCGAAGCAACUGUCAGGAGCAGAUCGCGGGACCUGCUGAAGGUUGCAAGGCUCUCCCCCUCAUGAGCGGUGAAAACAGUG
This is a long non-coding RNA of Nothobranchius furzeri (turquoise killifish), 1218 nucleotides long. RefSeq lists it as uncharacterized. The record is from RefSeq and is a predicted model, not a curated record. Lineage: Eukaryota; Metazoa; Chordata; Actinopteri; Cyprinodontiformes; Nothobranchiidae.